AAAACAAAACAAAACAAAACAAAAACAAGUGAGAAAAAUGGGAAUUCUUUUCUUAUGAUGGUAUUCUGCAAGCAACACCUCUGGCACUGGGAUUGGUGGAAUUCGUUGUCCUUGUAAAACACUGUCAUGUUUAAUUUUCAGUUGGAUUCCUGCCCCCAGCUAAUGCAGAGAGAAGCACUGAUUCCUGAAGUGAGUGUGAACUGGUUGUCUGCCUGUUUUGCCCCAAAUACUUAUGCCAACCAGAGAGCAGCUCCAGAGAGAAGACAGUUCUGGCCUGUGCAAAAGUUUGCUGAAGACGCUUAUUUUCUGGAGACCCAGGCUUUUGUUCCCAGAUGGCCCUGUUGUAUACUCAGCUUGCCCGCCUCUAUCCUCGACAUCAUUUGAAAUGCUUACACUGUCUUCACCGUUCAGUAUUUAAAAGGAAUAAGUAAAGCUUCUCCCCUGUAAUUUGGUUACUUAGAAAGAAAGAUGGACAUGUUUUGAAAUCUUUGCUUAGUUUUAUUUGUCCUUUGUUUCUUUUUUUUUUUGUUUGUUUGUUUGUUUGUUUUUCUUGAAACUAAUUUUGUUAAUGCCCUUGAUAUCAGUACAGGUGGAUGAUCUCACAUUUUAUCCAGUUACCAUAUUUCUGGAUUCCAGACUGCUCUGGGUAAGAAGUCACUUGUAGGUAGUGUAGCUCUUAUAGCUUUGUUAUUUUGUUAACAUUAAUUGAACACAUUUUUCUUUUU
This 725-nucleotide long non-coding RNA is filed under the name Cairina moschata (Muscovy duck). Its description in RNAcentral is "domestica (muscovy Duck (domestic type)) lncRNA (ENSCMMG00000016844.1)". The record is from RNAcentral. Lineage: Eukaryota; Metazoa; Chordata; Aves; Anseriformes; Anatidae.